This 353-nucleotide long non-coding RNA is filed under the name Vitis vinifera (wine grape). Its description in RNAcentral is "long non-coding RNA (VVIN_LNC000615)". Lineage: Eukaryota; Viridiplantae; Streptophyta; Magnoliopsida; Vitales; Vitaceae. The record is from RNAcentral.
UAGGAUGGGUAGCUCUGAAGAACCCGACAGGACUAGUCUCCUCCAUGACUCUUCAUCUCCGACUCACCCUCUCCUCUCCAAAUCCUACCCUUCACCCUCAAUUUCAGAACCUCAGCCUGAAUCCUCCGAACCUGACCAGACCCAGUUCCUCCAGAUCUCCUACAAUUACGGGCCUAGACCCUUCAAGGACCUCCCCUUUCUCAUCCUCUUUCUGGUCGUCGUUCUCUGCACUUUCGGCUUUGGCAUCUUCGCAGUUGUGAAUCGGAACCCCAAUUCUUCCAGCGUUUCUUCUUAUUCUUAUGACUCCAGUUCCACUUCUUGUGUCAAGAACUCCACUGCCUCGCUGAAGCAAC